CUCCGACUCCCGGGAAUUCCAGGGUGUGCGGAUCGCUCGCCGAUGGCGAGGAGUUGCAGCUGGUGGGCCUUUCAGACGCCGAAGAGCCAGAAGCCAAUGCCACAUUCCUGAACAUGUCUGCAUGUGAAAAGACAUGGAUACAUGUUCCCAGAAGGUUCUGGAAGGAAGGAAAAUUUGGGUAAGACAUGCGAGCUGCAUAGCAAGUAGAAGGAAUUACCCAGGAGGUCCUGGUAAGGAACACA
Molecule: non-coding RNA, 242 nt
Organism: Odocoileus virginianus texanus
Lineage: Eukaryota; Metazoa; Chordata; Mammalia; Artiodactyla; Cervidae
Source: RefSeq, a predicted model, not a curated record